Long non-coding RNA from Dioscorea cayenensis subsp. rotundata (Guinea yam), 971 nucleotides. RefSeq lists it as uncharacterized. The record is from RefSeq and is a predicted model, not a curated record. NCBI's taxonomy places the organism in Eukaryota, Viridiplantae, Streptophyta, Magnoliopsida, Dioscoreales, Dioscoreaceae. The transcript has 4 exons.
GUCUCGUUUUGGAUUCACGGCAACAGUCUUGUUCUCGCCCUUCCGGGAAUCCAUCAUGUAGUUCUAGGGUUUGGAGAGAGAUUGGGUUGGAGAUGGGGCAGAAAAUGUUGAUCUAUAGCUUCAUGGCUCAGGCCAGGGUGAUCCUAGUGGAGUACACGGAGUUCACCGGAAAUUUCACUAGAAUCGCUGCCUAAUGCCUUAAGAAGCUCCCAUCUAGCAAUAACAAGUUCCUGUACAAUUGCUAUGGCCAUAGCUUCAAUUAUCUCGCCGAGAACGGAUUUUAUCCUCAUCUGCAGUCUUCAAGAGGACCAAAUCAAUGAACAUUAGACAGUAUUAAGGUAACUGGAAGCGAUUUUAUUUGUCCACAACUUAGGGAGAGCUAGCCAGCAUGUUGAUGCUCUUAGGGAGAUCUGCAAGCUCACUUUCCUUCCAUUAAAUCCUCGUUCAACAGAUGUUACAAAUGAUGCCUUUGAGAAUCUCUCUUCUAUGUUCAAGCAUGUGUUCCAGAUCUUCUCGAAGUUCCUCUAACUUGUCUGGACAAUGUGACUAACACCAAUGGAACACUUCGUUCCUUAAAGUCUAAGGUACCUGAUGCUUCUAGUGCUCAACAAACUCGGCUUGGGAAUAAUCAUUCUUCCAAAUCAAGUUAUCAAGAAAAUCCAAAUGCAUCAAGUUGUUCUUUUUAGAAGAAAUAGCCUUAUCAAGAACUCUUGGUUUGGUUGAGGCAAAUCCUUAUCGCUUUAUUUGGUUGUUAGACAUUAAAUGAAAUUAUUUUAUCUUUGCAUUAGAUUUGUAAUUGAGGCAAAAACUCUUGGUUGUCAAGAUUGAAUGGUAGUUUACUUUUGGACAUAUAUUUUGUAAACAUAUGUUUGUGAUGAUGAAAUAGCCUUUCUUUUGAAUUUUUAGUGGAAUGUUUGUGUUAGAUUUGGAAUUGAGGCAACAACUCUUGGUUAUCAAGAUUGAAUGGUAGU